RNAcentral lists this ribosomal RNA (253 nucleotides) under uncultured bacterium. RNAcentral describes it as "partial 16S ribosomal RNA". It matches the Rfam family "Bacterial small subunit ribosomal RNA", at positions 524 to 776 of the family's 1533-position model. The record is from RNAcentral.
UACGGAGGGUGCUAGCGUUGUUCGGAAUCACUGGGCGUAAAGGGCGUGUAGGCGGUCUGUUAAGUCUGAUGUGAAAUCCCCUCGCUCAACGAGGGAACUGCGUCGGAUACUGGCAGACUCGAGUACCGGAGAGGAAGGUGGAAUUCCCGGUGUAGCGGUGAAAUGCGUAGAUAUCAGGAGGAACACCAAUUGCGAAGGCAGCUCGCUGGGACGUUACUGACGCUGAGACGCGAAAGCGUGAGGAGCAAACAGG